GGGGAUUUAGCUCAGUGGUUCCGGCGCCUGCCUCUCAAGCGCAAGUUCCCGAGUUUGAUCCCCGGUAUCCCCA
RNAcentral lists this transfer RNA (73 nucleotides) under Heterocephalus glaber (naked mole-rat). It matches the Rfam family "tRNA". From Rfam's summary of the family: Transfer RNA (tRNA) molecules are approximately 80 nucleotides in length. Their secondary structure includes four short double-helical elements and three loops (D, anti-codon, and T loops). The record is from Rfam by way of RNAcentral. Lineage: Eukaryota; Metazoa; Chordata; Mammalia; Rodentia; Bathyergidae.